RNAcentral lists this transfer RNA (71 nucleotides) under Myoviridae sp. ctx322. RNAcentral describes it as "tRNA-Gln". It matches the Rfam family "tRNA". From Rfam's summary of the family: Transfer RNA (tRNA) molecules are approximately 80 nucleotides in length. Their secondary structure includes four short double-helical elements and three loops (D, anti-codon, and T loops). Further hydrogen bonds mediate the characteristic L-shaped molecular structure. tRNAs have two regions of fundamental functional importance: the anti-codon, which is responsible for specific mRNA codon recognition, and the 3' end, to which the tRNAs corresponding amino acid is attached (by aminoacyl-tRNA synthetases). tRNAs cope with the degeneracy of the genetic code in two manners: having more than one tRNA (with a specific anti-codon) for a particular amino acid; and 'wobble' base-pairing, i.e. permitting non-standard base-pairing at the 3rd anti-codon position. Lineage: Duplodnaviria; Heunggongvirae; Uroviricota; Caudoviricetes. The record is from RNAcentral.
UGAGAUAUGGUGUAAGGGUAGCACAAGAGAUUUUGGUUCUCUUUGUUCAAGUUCGAAUCUUGAUAUCUCAA